UCACCCCUAACCCUGGCUGUCUCUCCUGUUGGAGCACUCAGAUGCAGCACCCUGGAGGCACAGAAAGGUCCUACGCAGUGGUGACCACCAACUUCUCUGCCCUUUUUCUUUUUUCUUAAAUGUAUUUUAAGUAUCGUGUUUGAAAUGAUUCCUUGGUGAGUCCUUCCCUUGUAACCCAACCCACAUGCUGGCUAGAGCUAAGGCUUUAGUGGAAAUAGAGAGAAAUUACAUUUUAAUGCUCCAGAAAGAGGUAGGAAGGAAAAGAGAGGGAGGGAGAAAAAUGGCAAAGAGCCAGCAGAAUUAAGUGGAACAAGCUGAGGGGCCAAUGAAAAUGUUUAGUUGAUAUGUAGCCCGCCCGUAGAUAUUUUAAGAAGGGGGAGGACUGUGGUGUUCUUAUUGCUGUCAUAUAAACCUCCUUUCCCUUUUAAAAUCUUUAGUAAAGACUUUAGUGUUCACAGAUGAUUGGCGGGGCUGGUUCCUAUUUGGUGAGUGGAGGUUUCAGGAAGUUUCAUAUCUGGGUCAACCCAAAGCCCAGAAAAGAGGCAGUCCACAAUGAGUCAGUAUCCAGGAAGUAGAGGCGGGAAUGGAAAAGGAAGAUUCCAAGAAUUUUCAAAAACACAAGAAAAGAGCUUUGGACUUCCACAGGCCAUGGACUGGGGAGAGGUAUAAGCCGAUAUAAAUCCAUCUUUUGGGGCUUUGAUUUUAGCCAGACCCUAUCUCCCAUCAUCAGCUGCAAGACGACAGUUCCAAACACAUGCCUGUAAUUGUCCUCGGCGUUGGCUUCCUUCUCGAGGACUUGGGUACUGUUCUUCAUGAGCCCUAAUUUUACAGCAUGUUGGAACGGCUCAACGUUGAAGCCAAAGUGGUAUGUGCCAGGUGAACAUCCUCAAGGGGCUUGAAAACCAGGAGAGGGAGCCCCUCUCCCAGUGUAGCGGAGCCAGUCCAAGCAGAAGGUGACCAGGAUUGCUGCUGGAACUUAGCAUCCAGUCUCACAGAGCCUGAAGAAAGGCCAGUCAGCUGGUCCUCCUCUCAUGCCUGUUCUGCUCGACACAAAGGACUGGAAGCAUCAGUGUGUCUCUGGAGUCCAGCAUGGAGGUACCGGUGUGUGGCCAGAUGGCUGGAGUUCAGGCUGAAUCUGUUCUUGCCGAUGGCAAGUUCUCUAACUUUCAGCCAGGUGCUUCUCCACUGCCUCCCCGCAACACACAGGGUACAAAUUUAAAGCCAGUCGUCUAGCUUCUGUUGCUACUUGCCUCUGCUUAGAAUAGCUGAGCCGCAUGGAUCUUAGAAAUCUCUCUCUUUUGCAUGUCAAUCAUAUCUGAAUAAAGUGGUUCUUUUACAAAAGAAAAUCUUUUCCCUCUCUCUUUUUCUCUCUCCCUCUCUUUCUCCGCCUUCAGUUCUUUUCUCCUUCCUUCUCUCUCUCCUUUUAACCUUCUUUGUAUUUGUCUUUAUUUCUCUAUCUCUGUCUCUCCACGCCUCACCGCCCCCUGCCCCAACACAUGCACAUACACUUUGCGAUGGCACCUGAGCCACCUCUGGCAAAUCCUGGGGCACUGGAAAGUAAUGGGAAAACCAUUGACUAGGCCCAAACCCCUCAUUCUACAGAGGAGGAACAGAG
This 1615-nucleotide long non-coding RNA is filed under the name Pan troglodytes (chimpanzee). RNAcentral describes it as "lncRNA (ENSPTRG00000054358.1)". The record is from RNAcentral. Lineage: Eukaryota; Metazoa; Chordata; Mammalia; Primates; Hominidae.